RNAcentral lists this ribosomal RNA (426 nucleotides) under uncultured prokaryote. RNAcentral's name for it is "bacterial SSU rRNA". It matches the Rfam family "Bacterial small subunit ribosomal RNA", at positions 355 to 796 of the family's 1533-position model. The record is from RNAcentral.
UGGGGAAUUUUCCGCAAUGGGGGCAACCCUGACGGAGCAACGCCGCGUGGGGGAGGAAUGUCUGUGGAUUGUAAACUCCUUUUCUCAGGGAAGAAGUUCUGACGGUACCUGAGGAAUCAGCAUCGGCUAACUCCGUGCCAGCAGCCGCGGUAAGACGGAGGAUGCAAGCGUUAUCCGGAAUUAUUGGGCGUAAAGCGUCCGUAGGCGGUUUAUCAAGUCUGCCGUUAAAGACUGCAGCUUAACUGUGGGCGAGCGGUGGAAACUGAUGAACUAGAGUGUGGUAGGGGUAGAGGGAAUUCCCAGUGUAGCGGUGAAAUGCGUAGAUAUUGGGAAGAACACCAGUGGCGAAGGCGCUCUGCUGGGCCACAACUGACGCUGAGGGACGAAAGCUAGGGGAGCGAAAGGGAUUAGAUACCCCCGUAGUCC